Molecule: long non-coding RNA, 208 nt
Organism: Pogoniulus pusillus (Red-fronted tinkerbird)
Lineage: Eukaryota; Metazoa; Chordata; Aves; Piciformes; Lybiidae
Exons: 2
Source: RefSeq, a predicted model, not a curated record
CACUGCAGCCCUUCAUAAAGACCUGCAAGCUGCUGCCUCGGGCUCUGGUUUCCUUCUCUCUCUCCCCUUGAGCUCACUCUGUCUCAAAGCAGGGCAGUACCCAGCGCCAAGGCAGAUGUUCACCCCCAGGAGGUCAGCCAGAGCUCACCUUGCCAUCCCCACCUGUGCUGGAGACUGUUCUCAGCGUAGCUGCACUCAGCGGAGUAGC